GAGCAAUAUCACAGCAUGCUGAGAGAAAUUGAGCAACUGAAAGAGCAGCUCCGAUCCUGUAGUCUUCAAAAGCCGUUUGGACUGGAACGUUUUUCUACGUCACCAGAAGACAUCAGAUUUUACACCAGGUUCCCCUCAUAUGAGCAUCUGAAGGCGUUUUGGAACUUGAUCGAGGCAGCAACAGCCAAAAUGGUCAGGGUCACCAGAGCAAAGAAAACCGACGUCAUGAGUACAACAACUGAAACCCCUUUUACCAGACCAACUAAACUGCUGCCAAUAGAUGAGCUUUUUCUUUUCCUCUCCUACCUGUCUACUGGAUGUACCCAGAGGGAACUGGGCCAUCGAUUUAACAUCCACAGAGCAACAGUCAGCCGCAUUAUUGUGACAUGGGCCAACUUCCUGUACUGCUUAUUGGGCUCAAUUUGUGUGUGGAUGUCUCCUGCAGCUGUGAGUUCCAGUCUUCCACAGGAUUUUGAUGGCCGCUACAGUGACACACAAGUUAUCCUGGACUGUACAGAACUACGGUGUCAAACACCUUCAUCCCAAAA
Nematolebias whitei (Rio pearlfish) is the source of this 548-nucleotide long non-coding RNA. RefSeq lists it as uncharacterized. The transcript has 3 exons. The record is from RefSeq and is a predicted model, not a curated record. Lineage: Eukaryota; Metazoa; Chordata; Actinopteri; Cyprinodontiformes; Rivulidae.